GCUGAGGAGUUAGGCACUACAGGACCCAAAGUGGAGAGUUUUCAGGAACUGAGCUACUCGCAGCCCGCCCCCUGAAAGACCAAGAGUGUCUCACAAACAGUCUUGGGAGAAUAUGGAUCAAGGGUUUCAAGGAGGAACAAUGGCAUCAUGAUGUCUUGACUUAUACUCAAAUUGGAUUUAAAUGAGG
This 187-nucleotide long non-coding RNA is filed under the name Monodelphis domestica (gray short-tailed opossum). Its description in RNAcentral is "lncRNA (ENSMODG00000041941.1)". Lineage: Eukaryota; Metazoa; Chordata; Mammalia; Didelphimorphia; Didelphidae. The record is from RNAcentral.